Molecule: ribosomal RNA, 379 nt
Filed under: uncultured eukaryote
Lineage: Eukaryota
Description: partial 18S ribosomal RNA
Rfam family: Eukaryotic small subunit ribosomal RNA
Source: RNAcentral
CAAUAGCGUAUAUUAAAGUUGUUGCAGUUAAAAAGCUCGUAGUUGGAUUUGUGGCGUACGGUGUGUUCCGGGCACUUGUUGUCUGAGUAACCUGCUGUUGCCAUCCUUGGGUGGAACCUGUGUGGCAUUAGGUUGUCGUGCAGGGGAUGCCCAUCAUUUACUGUGAAAAAAUUAGAGUGUUCAAAGCAGGCUUAUGCCGUUGAAUAUAUUAGCAUGGAAUAAUGAGAUAGGACUUUUUUGCUAUUUUGUUGGUUUGCGCAAAGAGGUAAUGAUUAAUAGGGACAGUUGGGGGUAUUCGUAUCCAUUGUCAGAGGUGAAAUUCUUGGAUUUUUGGAAGACGAACUACUGCGAAAGCAUUUACCAAGGAUGUUUUCAUUAA